GGGCCGCUAGCUCAGUGGUAGAGCACGUGACUUUUAAUCACGGUGUCCCGGGUUCGAUCCCCGGGCGGCCCACCA
Molecule: transfer RNA, 75 nt
Filed under: Planctomycetaceae bacterium
Lineage: Bacteria; Pseudomonadati; Planctomycetota; Planctomycetia; Planctomycetales; Planctomycetaceae
Also listed under: 2 other names
Description: tRNA-Lys
Rfam family: tRNA
About the family: Transfer RNA (tRNA) molecules are approximately 80 nucleotides in length. Their secondary structure includes four short double-helical elements and three loops (D, anti-codon, and T loops).
Source: RNAcentral